CAAUAGCGUAUAUUAAAGUUGUUGCAGUUAAAAAGCUCGUAGUUGGAUUUCUGGUGGGAGCGAUCGGUCUGGCGCUUAGCGCGAGUACUUGCAUCGUCUCCGGCCAUCCUUGGGGAGAGUCUGUCUGGCAUUAAGUUGUCGGGCAGAGGAUCCUCAUCGUUUACUGUGAAAAAAUUAGAGUGUUCAAAGCAGGCUUAUGCCGUUGAAUAUAUUAGCAUGGAAUAAUAAGAUAGGACUUUGGUACUAUUUUGUUGGUUUUCGCACCAAAGUAAUGAUUAAUAGGGACAGUUGGGGGUAUUCGUAUUCCGUUGUCAGAGGUGAAAUUCUUGGAUUUACGGAAGACGAACUACUGCGAAAGCAUUUACCAAGGAUGUUUUCAUUAA
This 383-nucleotide ribosomal RNA is filed under the name uncultured eukaryote. RNAcentral describes it as "partial 18S ribosomal RNA". It matches the Rfam family "Eukaryotic small subunit ribosomal RNA", at positions 592 to 976 of the family's 1831-position model. The record is from RNAcentral.